Molecule: non-coding RNA, 87 nt
Organism: Acanthosepion pharaonis
Lineage: Eukaryota; Metazoa; Mollusca; Cephalopoda; Sepiida; Sepiidae
Source: the annotation of a GenBank genome assembly
GGAUCUCGUACGAUCGCCGAAGUUAAGCAACGUCGAGCCGGGUUAGUACCUAGAUGGGUGACCGCUUGGCAACAUCAUGUGCUAUAA